Vulpes vulpes (red fox) is the source of this 446-nucleotide long non-coding RNA. The record is from Ensembl. NCBI's taxonomy places the organism in Eukaryota, Metazoa, Chordata, Mammalia, Carnivora, Canidae.
AUGUCAUAUUCCUCUCAUGAAGUAUGUCAUCUCUCCCCAACCCCUUUCAGGCUGUCCUCCAAGACUUUAAUGGGACAAAAUUCCAGAAUGAUGUUCUCGGAAUGCAUACAUGGGUUAUUUUUGGAUGGUGGAAUUUCAGGUGAUCUUUUUAGUUUACUUUCUUAUUCAUACUUCCCUGCAUUUCCUGACUUUUUUCCUUUAAGAAGCAACUAUCAUUUUUACAAAAACAUUAGUUUGAAAAAUAAUAAAAUUGAGGGGUGCCUGGGUGGCUCAGUGGCUAAAGGUCUGCUUUUGGCUCAGGUCAUGAUCCCACGGUCCUGCAUCGGAUUCCCUUUUGGCAGGGAAUUUGCUUCUCCUUCUCCCCUGCUUGUUCUCUCUCUCUCUCUCUCACAAAUAAAUAAAUAAAAUCAUUUAAAAAAUAAUAAUAAAAUUAAAACCCCUUACCA